AAAUUACAAUAAAGGGCUGCGCUUUAGCGCAUGAUACGCCCGUUGCUCUUUUAACUUGUCUUUUAUGCUUUAAAUGUAUUGUCCCAAAAUUGGAAAAUCCCCCCUUUUUUAAGCAUAAAAAUUCAUAACACGGAAAUGUAAAAUCUGAAAUUUAUAAAAGUUGAAAGGGAGCUUACAUCAAUAGAUAUAAACAAUUCACCAAAGUUUCAUGGACAUUGGUGAAAGCCUUUUUGAGUUAUUGUCCGCGAAGUGUUGAAAAUCCCCCCUUUUUUAUGAAUAAAGCCCCAUAAAUCCAAAACUUAAAAUCUGAAAUUAAAAAAAAACAAAAGGGAGCUUACGUCAAUAGAUAUAAACAAUUCACCAAAGUUUCAUGGACAUUGGUGAAAGCCUUUUUGAGUUAUUGUCCGAAGUGUUGAAAAUCCCCCCUUUUUUAUGAAUAAAGCCCCAUAAAUCCAAAACUUAAAAUCUGAAAUUAAAAAAAAACGAAAGGGAGCUUACGUCAAUAGAUAUAAACAAUUCACCAAAGUUUCUUGGAAAUUGGUGAAAGUGUUUUUGAGUUAUUGUCCGAAGUGUGGACGACGGACGGACAGACGGACGGACGGACGGACAGACGGACAGACGGACAACGGUAUACCAUAAUACGUCCCGUCCCGGGCGUAUAAAAAUUGGUCAGCACCUCAUAAGGAACAUGCAUGCUAUGUUGGGUUUCAUUCCAUUCAGUGGUUCUCUAAAAGAAGACUUUUGUAUGCAUUUCCCAUAGGGUCCUA
Molecule: long non-coding RNA, 767 nt
Filed under: Mytilus galloprovincialis (Mediterranean mussel)
Lineage: Eukaryota; Metazoa; Mollusca; Bivalvia; Mytilida; Mytilidae
Source: RNAcentral